Molecule: long non-coding RNA, 3607 nt
Filed under: Homo sapiens (human)
Lineage: Eukaryota; Metazoa; Chordata; Mammalia; Primates; Hominidae
Description: HSALNT0216364
Source: RNAcentral
GCGGGGCGAGUGGGCCGCUGAGAUUGCGGAGCCCGCGCAUGCGCAGAGCGCGCCUGGUGGGCGUGUGCGCCUUCGCCCUGCGGACCCGGUGCCUUCAGUAUUCGGGGUCCGACCGCGCGCGUCGCGGAUCCCGGGGCCGAAGACGACCCCAAGUAUCGGAGAGGCAGAGUCGCGAUCUCAGGCCGUCGAGCCCCGUCCCGCAGUCCGCGGGCCCAUGUUGCCUGCGGGGCCUCGGACCUGCCCGGCCGAGGUGGGGGUCGAGGGCGGCCCGGCAGGCGCAGCUCUGAUGGCCUCGGCGGGUUGUGGGCUAUUUAAAACGGCUUGUCCCAGCUCGAAGCGGUCCUGGAAGACUCGGGCCCUACCCCUGACUUUACCGAUGAGAGACUGAGGCCCAGACGGUGUGGGGUCAGGGCCCAGGCUUCUGGGGGAUGCUGCCAAGGCGGGAGCCAGCGUCCCCAGUGCCCGGUGGAUUCGUGAUGGCUUGCAGAGGGUUUCAGUUUCCACUGUCCAGCCCUCCCUGCAGACCAAUGCCUAGGUGUGACAGUUUGGUAGGAAAGGGGCCGGAUAUUUGUCUCCAGGCUGGGUUUGCCUAGCGAGUCGCUGCAUUUACUAAGAUUGUUGGUUAAUUUGGGUGGCUGGGGGAGGGAGGCUGAUGGAGAUACCCCCCAACCCCAACAAACCCUUGGCGUCAGGAGAGGAGGGGCUUUUCCUGGAGCUUGCGGAAGGUCACCGAAAUCGUGGGGGUAUCUGAGAGCUUCUGGGGCGCGCGGGUGCAGGGGAAGGGGUCAUGCUUCCGUGGAAGCGGUGGCCUCCAGGUGGAGCCGAUGAAGGGGCAGAUAGGGGUUUGAAGCAGGACGUUAAGGGAGCCUGAAGCAAAACUAAUCUCUGGAGCUAAAAAUAGGAGUGGGCCUGGCGCGGUGGCUCACACCUGUAAUCCCAGCACUUUAGGAGGCCGAGGUGGGCGGAUUGCCUGAGCUCAGGACUUCGAGACCAGCCUGGGCAACACGGUGAAACCCCGUCUCUACUAAAAUACAAAAAACUAGCCGGGCGUGGUGGCGCGCGCCUGUAGUCCCAGCUACUCGAGAGGCUAAGGCAGGAGAAUUACUUGAACCCGGGAGGCGAAAGUGCAGUGAGCCAAGAUCGCUCCACUGCACUCCAGCAUGGGCAACAGAGCACGACUCCGUCUUAAUAAUAGUAAUAAUAAUAAGAAGAAGAAGAAGAAGAAGAGGAGUGGCUGCCUAUGCCGGAGUUGUUGACUGGAACAAGAGGAGGAACCUUCUGGGCUGCUGGUAAUGUUCUAUGCCUGGAUUUGGGUAGUAGUUACAUGGGAGCACGCAUAAGUAAACAUUCUUCAAACUGUCUUCUUAAGAUGAGUGCAUGUCACUGUGUGUAUGUAUAUAUAAUACCUUCAUUUCUUAAAGGCAGGUGAGAACAAUCUGGCGUUAGAGGUGAGAGUACUGGUUGCCUUUGGGGUAUCAACUGGAAGGAGGCACAAGGAGAGGCCUCUAGGGGGCUGGGAACAUUCUGUAUCUUCAGCACAGCCGUUUUGUAACGUUGGGUCUGUAAAUGUGUAUAAAUUCAUCAAACUGUAUUCUAAAUAUUUGCAUGUUACUAUUUGUGUAUGACACCUUAAAAGUUUUUUUUAAAAAGUCUGAGCAGAUCACCUGGCUCAAAAUCAAAGUUAAAUCUUCCCCCUUGGACCCCUUAGGGCCUGAGAUGAGCAAGGGGAAAGGGGGCUGUGCCUGGUGCCAUCUCCUUCCCCAAACCUCCCUCGGCUCGCUCAGCCCACUUCCACCCAUCUAGAACCACCACCGGGAAGGGAGAAAGGGAGAAGUGGGGAAGGGCUCCAAUCCCAUCUGGAUUGGCAGAGGGUAAAGCUGACCCUGUCUCUCCUGGGAACAUUCAUGGGCUCCUCGGUGGUUCCCUGCUGCUUUGUCUCCUGAAGUCCCCUUAACUCAAGCAGAUGUGCCACUGGGUGGAUGCUUACCUGGUGGCUGUGGAGGGGAGGGGCCCUCUGCCCUUCCUGAGGGACUUUUGGACAGGACCUAAAUGGAUCCAUGGGUCUUGUGCUUGCUCAUCCACCCAGCUCACAUCUGUCCUCAGGAAACACUGGCACACUCCUCGCCCCAACAUUAGUGAACAGGUGGGUCCCAGCACAGCAGCAUAGCUCUGCCUCUGAAACAGCACAUGAGCCCUUCCUGCCACUGUGCCCUCCAAAUUGAGUGCCAAAUAUUGAGCUCUCUGAGAAAUCCCUUGGAAGCCACCCUCACAGGCUUAAAGUGAAGGAAGGAGUGCCUGUCCUCUGUGUCCCCUGGCAGGAUCACCUGACCAAACUUUCUCUUCCACUCUCAUCUUUUAUUCCUGAGUGUGGGACAGAUUCCCAAACAUUUCUCUUGACAAUCUGCCCAUGGCGAUCUGACAUAGCAUUUGAGAAUUCCACAUCUGCUCUCUCUUCUUGCCUCCUGGAAAUUUCCAUUUACUGUUCUUAUACAUUUACAAAUGUACAACAAAGGUCAUCGUGCCUUUGGUGGACAGUCCUUGUAUUCGUCUGCCCUCGCUUUCUCUCUCUCCUGAGCCCCAUGCCCUGUGAGUCUGUGCUCCAGCUCCACUCUGAUCAUAGGAUUCUAGAGGGGCUGGCACCAGGGUGGACAUGUGACCCAAGACCCUAGCAGCACUUCAUCCCCCUUCAGUCAUGUGACUGAAGCCAGGCCAAUCAGAGAACUUAUUUGUUUAUGUAUUCAUUUAUCUAUUUAUUUUUUAGAGACAUGGUCUUGCUCCGUCAUACAGGCUGAAGUGACUUGGCACAAUCAUAGCUCACUGCAGCCUUGAACUGCCAGGCUCAAGUAAUCCUCCCAUCUCAGCCUCCACAGUAGUGGGGACUACAGGUGUAUGCCACCACAUCUGGCUAAUUUAAAAAAAUUUUUUUAGAGAAGGAGUCUUGCUAUGUCGCCCCGGUUGGUCUUGAACUCCUGGUCUCAAACAAUCUUGCUCCCUCAGCAGAUAACUUAUUUAGAAUGUUUUAUACUGGCUGGGUGUGGUGGCUCACACAUGUAAUCCCAGCAUUUUGGGAGGCCAAGGCGGGCAGAUCAUUUGAGGUCAGGAGUUCGAGACCAGCCUGACCAAAAUGGUGAAACCUUGUCUCUACUAAAAAUACCAAAAAUAAAAAUAAAAAAUUAGCUGGGUGUGGUUGUGCACACCUGUAAUCUCAGCUACUUUAGAGAAUGAGGCAGGAAAACUACUUGAACCCAGGAGGCAGAGGUUGCAGUGAGUCAAGAUGGCGCCACUGCACUCCAGCCUGGGUGACAGAGCGAGACUCCAUCUCAAAAAGAAAAAGAAAAAGAAAAAGAAGGCCGGGCGCAGUGGCUCACGCCUGUAAUCCCAGCAUUUUGGGAGACCGAGCUGGGUGGAUCACUUGAGGUCAGGAGUUUAAGACCAGCCUGGCCAACAUGGUGAAACCCCGUCUCUACUAAAAAUAUAAAAAUUAGCGGGGCAUGGUGGCGCAUGCCUGUAAUCCCAGCUACUUGGGAGGCUGAGGCAGGAUAAUCACUUGAACCCGGAAAGCGGAGGGUGCAGUGAGCAGAGAUUGCACCAGUGCACUCCAGCCUGG